This 402-nucleotide ribosomal RNA is filed under the name uncultured bacterium. RNAcentral describes it as "bacterial SSU rRNA". It matches the Rfam family "Bacterial small subunit ribosomal RNA", at positions 355 to 774 of the family's 1533-position model. The record is from RNAcentral.
UGGGGAAUAUUGGACAAUGGGCGCAAGCCUGAUCCAGCCGUGCCGCGUGAGUGAUGAAGGCCCUAGGGUUGUAAAGCUCUUUCACCGGUGAAGAUAAUGACGGUAACCGGAGAAGAAGCCCCGGCUAACUUCGUGCCAGCAGCCGCGGUAAUACGAAGGGGGCUAGCGUUGUUCGGAAUUACUGGGCGUAAAGCGCACGUAGGCGGAUCGAUCAGUUAGGGGUGAAAUCCCGGGGCUCAACCCCGGAACUGCCUCUAAUACUGGCGAUCUGGAGUUCGAGAGAGGUGAGUGGAAUUCCGAGUGUAGAGGUGGAAUUCGUAGAUAUUCGGAGGAACACCAGUGGCGAAGGCGGCUCACUGGCUCGAUACUGACGCUGAGGUGCGAAAGCGUGGGGAGCAAACA